GGUUCUGUGGCCCAAUGGAUAAGGCGCUUGACUACGAAUCAAGAGAUUCCAGGUUCGAGUCCUGGCUGGAUCA
This is a transfer RNA of Zancudomyces culisetae, 73 nucleotides long. It matches the Rfam family "tRNA". From Rfam's summary of the family: Transfer RNA (tRNA) molecules are approximately 80 nucleotides in length. Their secondary structure includes four short double-helical elements and three loops (D, anti-codon, and T loops). The record is from Rfam. NCBI's taxonomy places the organism in Eukaryota, Fungi, Kickxellomycota, Harpellomycetes, Harpellales, Legeriomycetaceae.